RNAcentral lists this ribosomal RNA (253 nucleotides) under uncultured Eubacteriales bacterium. Its description in RNAcentral is "uncultured Clostridiales bacterium partial 16S ribosomal RNA". It matches the Rfam family "Bacterial small subunit ribosomal RNA", at positions 524 to 776 of the family's 1533-position model. The record is from RNAcentral. Lineage: Bacteria; Bacillati; Bacillota; Clostridia; Eubacteriales.
UACGGAGGAUCCGAGCGUUAUCCGGAUUUAUUGGGUUUAAAGGGUGCGUAGACGGCAGGGCAAGUCUGGAGUGAAAGCCCGGGGCCCAACCCCGGGACUGCUUUGGAAACUGCCAUGCUAGAGUGCUGGAGAGGUAAGCGGAAUUCCUAGUGUAGCGGUGAAAUGCGUAGAGAUUAGGAGGAACACCAGUGGCGAAGGCGGCUUACUGGACAGUAACUGACGUUGAGGCUCGAAAGCGUGGGGAGCAAACAGG